GUUGACCUCGGAUCAGGUAGGGAUACCCGCUGAACUUAAGCAUAUCAAUAAGCGGAGGAAAAGAAACCAACAGGGAUUGCUCUAGUAACGGCGAGUGAAGCAGCAAUAGCUCAAAUUUGAAAUCUGGCGUCUUCGACGUCCGAGUUGUAAUUUGUAGAGGAUGCUUCUGAGUAACCACCGACCUAAGUUCCUUGGAACAGGACGUCAUAGAGGGUGAGAAUCCCGUAU
This 228-nucleotide ribosomal RNA is filed under the name Cladosporium cladosporioides. Its description in RNAcentral is "partial 28S ribosomal RNA". It matches the Rfam family "Eukaryotic large subunit ribosomal RNA", at positions 1 to 226 of the family's 3401-position model. The record is from RNAcentral. Lineage: Eukaryota; Fungi; Ascomycota; Dothideomycetes; Cladosporiales; Cladosporiaceae.